RNAcentral lists this ribosomal RNA (466 nucleotides) under uncultured bacterium. RNAcentral describes it as "partial 16S ribosomal RNA". It matches the Rfam family "Bacterial small subunit ribosomal RNA", at positions 338 to 795 of the family's 1533-position model. The record is from RNAcentral.
CCUACGGGGAGCAGCAGUGGGGAAUCUUCCGCAAUGGGCGCAAGCCUGACGGAGCAACGCCGCGUGAAUGAAGAAGGUCUUCGGAUCGUAAAGUUCUGUUCUUAGGGAAGAAGACUUAGGUUGUGAAUAAUGACUUAAGGUGACGGUACCUAUGGAGAAAGUUCCGGCUAACUACGAGCCAGCAGCAGCGGUAAUACGUAGGGAGUGAGCGUUGUUCGGAAUUACUGGGCGUAAAGGGCGCGUAGGCGGGAACUUAAGUUAGAUGUGAAAACUCCGGGCUUAAGCUGGAGACUGCAUUUAAAACUGGGUUUCUUGAAGGCGGGAGAGGAAAGUGGAAUUCCUGGUGUAGCGGUGAAAUGCGUAGAUAUUAGGAGGAACACCAGUGGCGAAGGCGACUUUCUGGACUGUAACUGACGCUGAGGCGCGAAAGCAUGGGUAGCGAACAGGAUUAGAUACCCGAGUAGUC